Molecule: non-coding RNA, 56 nt
Organism: Ictidomys tridecemlineatus (thirteen-lined ground squirrel)
Lineage: Eukaryota; Metazoa; Chordata; Mammalia; Rodentia; Sciuridae
Source: Rfam
UGAUGCCCCUCACCCACUGUCGAAGAUCCCCGGUGGGCGAGGGGGCGGCAGGGAUC